AUGAGCGCCCCCCAGCUGUACUGUGUGAUCCUCUGGAUGCUACAGCCAGGUCUGGGCCAGGCUGGUGUCACUCAGACCCCCACAUUCCAGCUCCUGAAGGAAGGACAGAGUGUGACACUGAUGUGUGCCCAGGAUAUGGAUCAUGACUACAUGUGCUGGUACCGACAAGAUGAGGGACAAGGGCUGAAGCUGGUCUAUUACUCAGUCACAACUAAGAGCGUGGAGAAAGGAGAAGUGGCUGAUGGGUACAGCGUCUCUAGAGAGGAGAAGAAGAGCUUCCCCCUCACGCUGGAGUCGGCUGUGCCCUCCCAGACAUCUGUGUACUGUAUUGCUCCUUUGGACACCUUUGGACCUGUCACUGGUUCUCACAGUCUGAAAUCAACCUUCAGGAAUAAACUGUGA
Molecule: non-coding RNA, 402 nt
Organism: Sorex araneus (European shrew)
Lineage: Eukaryota; Metazoa; Chordata; Mammalia; Eulipotyphla; Soricidae
Source: the annotation of a RefSeq genome assembly